RNAcentral lists this ribosomal RNA (490 nucleotides) under uncultured bacterium. Its description in RNAcentral is "bacterial SSU rRNA". It matches the Rfam family "Bacterial small subunit ribosomal RNA", at positions 29 to 512 of the family's 1533-position model. The record is from RNAcentral.
AACGAACGCUGGCGGCGCGCCUAAUACAUGCAAGUCGAGCGAGAAGGUGUAGCAAUACACUUGUAAAGCGGCGAACGGGUGAGGAAUACAUGGGUAAUCUACCAUCGAGUGGGGAAUAACCAGCCGAAAGGUUGGCUAAUACCGCGUACGCCUCCGGAUCUUCGGGUUCGGAGGGAAAGCCACACUGUGAGUGCGGCGCUCUUUGAUGAGCUCAUGUCCUAUCAGCUUGUUGGUAGGGUAACGGCCUACCAAGGCUUUGACGGGUAGCUGGUCUGAGAGGACGAUCAGCCACACUGGCACUGCGACACGGGCCAGACUCCUACGGGAGGCAGCAGUAAGGAAUAUUGCGCAAUGGGCGAAAGCCUGACGCAGCGACGCCGCGUGGGGGAUGAAGGUCUUCGGAUUGUAAACCCCUUUCGGGAGGGAAGAUGGAGCGAGCAAUCGUUCGGACGGUACCUCAAGAGGCAGCCACGGCCAACUUCGUGCCAGC